AGGGCCGUAGCUCCAUGGUAGAGCAGCAGCUUCACCUGCAGGAGGUCCCAGGUUCAAUCCCUGGCAGUUCCA
Molecule: non-coding RNA, 72 nt
Organism: Podarcis lilfordi (Lilford's wall lizard)
Lineage: Eukaryota; Metazoa; Chordata; Lepidosauria; Squamata; Lacertidae
Source: the annotation of a GenBank genome assembly